GCCAGUUUAGCUUAGUCGGUAGAGCAUCGCAUUCGUAACGCGAAGGUCGUGGGUUCGAAUCCCAUAGCUGGCUCCA
RNAcentral lists this transfer RNA (76 nucleotides) under Bacteroidales bacterium. RNAcentral's name for it is "tRNA-Thr". It matches the Rfam family "tRNA". Rfam says of the family: Transfer RNA (tRNA) molecules are approximately 80 nucleotides in length. Their secondary structure includes four short double-helical elements and three loops (D, anti-codon, and T loops). RNAcentral also lists the same sequence under 1 other name. Lineage: Bacteria; Pseudomonadati; Bacteroidota; Bacteroidia; Bacteroidales. The record is from RNAcentral.